RNAcentral lists this transfer RNA (131 nucleotides) under Polyangiaceae bacterium. Its description in RNAcentral is "tRNA-OTHER". It matches the Rfam family "tRNA". From Rfam's summary of the family: Transfer RNA (tRNA) molecules are approximately 80 nucleotides in length. Their secondary structure includes four short double-helical elements and three loops (D, anti-codon, and T loops). The record is from RNAcentral. Lineage: Bacteria; Pseudomonadati; Myxococcota; Polyangiales; Polyangiaceae.
GUGGUGGUAGCUCAAUUGGUAGAGCGCGUAGCACCGUCUUUCACCCCCUUGCCCGCGCGCCGGGCCGACGAACCGACGGUUAUCAAUUAGAAAUCACGAGGUUGCAGGUUCGAGCCCUGCCCACCACACCA